AGUAAAGGGGAGCCCAUAGAUGCGGUGAAGGUCACGCUCUCUUCUCCGGCCGUUCACCGAGGGCCGGCGUGAGGAGGGGGCUGCCUGCGCUGUGGAAGCCUCUCAGUCCCGGCCGCGGGACAGCGGAGCGCAGGCGGAACCAGCUUCUUCUGGGGAGGAGGGUGCCUGGGGUAAGAGGCUCAGAGACCAUCCAGACAUCACUGCAACCAUGAUCUCACCAGGCAUGAACUCCACAAUGCUCCAUUUAAUGGAUGUUAUUUGGGUUGAAAGAGAGAAGAAAUGCAUGAAGAAUAGGAGGCUGACAGAAAAGGAAUGGGAAGAAAGUGCAGUCCUUCCCUGAACGGCAGCCAGGACCUCAUAGCUGGCACUGGGGAACUGCUGUCUGCAGUCCAUGCCUUCCCUUCACAGGGAGCUCUGCUGGCCUGGCCACAGGCUCAAAACUGACUGACAGGCUGCACAGGAAAGAACCACGAGGAGCUCGCUCCAUCUGCUGAGAAAGCAGGUCUGCCUUCAGCUGCUUAUGCAGGUGCUUGGAGGACUGUGACUGGUUGCAAGUUUGGGCACCCGUCCUUGCCACAGGCUGGGCUGUGCUCACUCAUGGACUCUGCUUACAGGACCAUGAGGUUUUCUGUCCUCAACUCCUUGGUGAAAACAGGCUUUGUGGAAUAGCUGGGAGGUGAAAGCACAGAACUUGCCUAUUAGCUAUAUCUUUGAUUUAUUCCAAAACUUUCUUCCUCAGGUUCAGUGGAAGGAGGUGUGGAGGAAGUCUGAAGCAAGGAGGGAAGUGGAAUGCCAGGCAUGGGAGGCCUGGAGCAUGCAGCCAGUCCUAGUCCUGCUGCCCUGGGAAUGCUCUGUAGUGCCUGCAUGCCAGGCAAGAGGGAGUGACUUCAAAGCACAUCUUUAUUAGGGUACACUGCUUAGCAUCAAAGAAAUGUCAGGGCUGCUCUACACUGACUCUCUGCCUGCGGCACUUAACCAGCCUGUCAUUCAGAAGUCUGAGUACAAACCACAGCUGCUGACAGAGUCCUGGAAAAAUUUAUUUUUCCACAUCUAAUUGCCCUUUUUGCUUUGUAAACAUAAAGGUUGAAGCUUAAACUCUGACAGCUCUAGUAGCCUUUUGCUUAACUCCUUAAAAAAAAAGACAUUCGGCAUGUUAAAUUUUGCUUUUACUGCAGCCUGAAAUCUCACAAAAUCUGCACAAUGUUUUUUUUAAAGAUCAUUGAAGCAUUUCAGUACUCACUUUGGGAAAAACCCUUCAGCUCAAAAAAAGACAAAAGCUGGUGCCUGAAGAGCCAAGACCUUUCCCCAUAGCAAUUCAGGAUAAAAAUGCUUGACCAAAAGAGGCACAGCAAGCAAUCGGCAUUCCACCUUUCCCUGGGAGCAGGUUAAAGAAUGCCUAUCUGCUCUUGUUAUUGUUCCAGAAAGAAAUGAAAGACCAAAGACAGGAGAAAAAGAAAAACAACUGUUAAAAAGCAAAAGUAGAUGUAUCAUAGCAGCCUGAAAACUUCCAAUUCAGUUUUUUCAGUGACAUGGGUUCUCUGCCCUGGAGGAGGGUCUCCUGAUGUGGGGGGAUGCACCAUUCCCCAGACUCUGCACUGCCUCCUCUAAGAGCAUUGUGCCUGCAGGAGCCUCCUCUGGGUGAAGGCUUUGAGCUGCUCCUGCUGCAGUCCUUCACCAUUAGAGAUGCACGUCCUGAAUCACCUCAACCACAGAGAAGUGACUUUGUAGCCACAGCUAUUGAAGAACGAUCCUCUGUUUUUCUGGGAGGUGCUGCCCAUUCCCUCCAUCUGACAUGAAAACAGGGUCGUUGCAUCACCAUUGCUGUCUCUGCAGAGACCCUCCUGGCCUGGGCUCUGCUUCCAUCUGCCCACAGGAGAUGAGGACCAGACUGCCCUGCCCCCAGCCUCCAAACCUGCAUGGCACAGACACUGUGCUCGUCCCUGUCCCUGCAGCCAGCCUGGCCUGCACCCAGCUGCCCCUGGUUUAUGGAUCUGUGUCUGUGAACAAGUGACAGGGUGGUCAGCAUUGUCCUGAGUGGCAGAUUCUCCCUAAGUGGCAGCUCCAAUGGGCUGUGGGGCUGAGCUGGGGAAAGAGGGACUUUUCCUUCCUGUCCUCCCUGGUACUCUUUCCCUUUUGCUGUGAUCCAUGAGGGUGUUCAGUGUUCCUGGAGUUAGCCAUUCAUCUUACUCAAAUGCAACUUGCUUUCUGUUUCCCUAAGUACUGGGUGUAUUGACUGUGUCUUGGCCAAGAUCAGCGCACAGGAUUCAUGUUUACUUGUGGAAGGCUGUAGGUGUGAUCCGACACCAUGUGUUUUAUGGCACCUGUGUUGCUGCACUACCUUGAAUGCUGAAGCUGUCUGAAACUAAGCUGUUUUGGAAACAAUUAAAGCUUCUUACAUACACAACAGAAAUGCAAAAAAAUCCUCAAAAUACCUUUUAAGCAAGUAGUUUGAUUCAAACUGCAAGCUUGACAUGAAAAGUGGAGGAGACAUUUCAGGACAAUCUAUGUCUGUUACAGAUCCCAGAUGCCAUCAAUAAGGAAACAACAAUGAUGGACAAAUUCUACAUUUCCUGUGCAGAGCUGAGCGGAGGCAAGACUGUGCUUUGUGCUGCUCAAGGAAUAGCUGUCAUACCAUUACAGCAAAUAAUGGCUCUUGUUAAGUUUCUCACCUUUUUUAUCUUCCAGUUUGCCCAAAAUUAAAUUUCAUUUUGUUUAGGCGCAGCUUUCAAAAAGGCAUUGAAAGAUGACAGUUUUUCAGCAGGCCAGGUCCAGAGAAUGGAAUGGAGCUGGGGAAUGGGCUGGAGAACGAGUCUGAGGAGCAGCUGAGGGAGCUGGGCGAGCUCAGCCUGGAGAAAAGGAGGUUCAGGGGGGACCUUCUUGCUCUGCACAACUCUUGACAGGAGUUGGGCUCUUCUCCCAGGUAACAAGUGACAGGACAAGAGAAAAUGGCCUCAAGUUGUACCAGGGGAGGUUUAGAUGGGAAUAGGAAAUUCAGAAAAAUUUCUUUCCAGAGAGGGUUUUUCACCUCCUGACAGUGGUGAGUCAACAUCCCUGGAGGGAUUCAAAAGAUGUAUGGAUGUGGCACUUGGGGACAAGGGUUAGUGAUGAUCUUGGCAGUGCAAGGGGAAUGGUUGGACCUGAGGGUCUUAGAGGGCUUUCCCAACCUCAAUGAUUCUGUGACUCUGUGACCUCAAGCAGGCUGUCACAGUAACUAGUAGUAGUGUAUUUUUCCUUGGCAUUCACUAUUUAGCCUCGUUAGGAAGCGACAAAUUCAUUACAGAGUUAAGUCUUUUCACAGAGAACUGUCCUGGGGUCAGUUCCCCAGUAUAUCUGGAGUAGCUACACCCACAAUGGCUGUGGAUGAUCACAUGCUCCUGGGAUAACAAGGUUCUGGAAAGAGAUAAAUGCAGCAAAUGCGUUUGAACAGGGGAUGUUGUCAUGGCUGAACCCCAGCUAAAAACUCAGUCCCACACAACUGUUCGCUCACCCUCCUCCCUCAGAGAGAUGGGAAAGAGAAUCAGAAAAAAGGGUAGUUUUCUGUAGAUUGAAAUAAGAACAGUUCAAUAAUUAAAAUAAAGUAAAACUUUGGUACUACUACCCUGGAGUUCAGUAGAGCUGACUUUGGCCUCUUCAGGGAUCUGCUGUCAAUGUCCUUUUCAUAGAACGUCUUCCAUACAUUCCCGGAGAUUAAGUUUCUCUAUCCAGUGCAUGUUUUAGUUCCUGUCCUCCAGAGUUCACAUGUAGUGCUUGGUUUCCAUCUCUGCUGUUGGCUUUAGUUUUGUUCCUGCAAACAUAUUUUACUACUUCCUGGACAUUGUUUCAUGGAGGAUGUAAAUUUAACCAGAGGUUUUGUCGUGGUUUGACACUGGCCAAGCACCAGGCAGCCACAAAAGCCACUCUCUCUCCCUCCCCUACCACAGGUAGAGCAUAGAGAAAAAAAUUAGGGAAGGGUUUAUGAGUUGAGACAGGGACUGGGAGAAAACUCUUCAAGGGCAAAACAGGCUCAACUUAGAGGUACAAAGUACAGGUGUACAGGUGCAGGUGGAGGAACCUUGUGUGGAUGCUCCCUGGUUAUCACUGGACCACAUCACUCUCCUCUUUCAUUAGCCUUGUUUUAGCUACCCACUCCUGUAUUUCUCCCUCAGUCCAUCAGACAUUUCCUUUCUCUGUUGCAGGGCUCAGCUGAUAGGCAUUUUUGCUCUUCACCAGACAGCGUGUGUUCUUGUCAGCUGCCAGGCAGCUGAUCAUGAUUAGAUUGUAGUUGUGAUAGUGAUUUCCUGUCUUUCAGGCCUGAACAGAUGGUGUGCAGCUCCCAGUCCAAGGCUUGACUUUCAUAGUGCUUCAUGGCUUGGCCAAAUGGCAGUUGUGGAAUCUGUGCAUAUGAAGCCUCUCCAGGAGACCGUUGUAAGGGAAAGGAGCAACUGUGUCCUCUAAGGACCCUGCAGAAUUAUACCCACUUCAGAGGAGUGCUGGGAUGCUUUUGUUUGUUGGAUGCCAUCCUCCAAACUACAGUUGUGUUCCCCACCUUAGAAGUCUAUUGCUGUCUCAGUCUCUCAGUAUCAUAUUUAGGCUUGAUAUUUUAGAGAGUAACUAGUGUUUUAUCCGGUAAGAGAUGCUACUUUUGAAUUUUAUGUUACAGGAUCAAUAAGGACCAAGAAUGGGGCCCCAUAUGAUAGGCCUGAUCAUGGAUUUGCUCCCAGGAUUUCCAGAUUUCCAGAUUUCCUUCUUCCUCCAGCAGUUUUCUAUUCUAACAUAACAGGUUUUCCUAUCUAGCAGCUAUACAGGGUAACCUGAUGUGGGUUCUUCUGUAGAUGUUAUAUUGGGGCUUGCAUCAGUGACAGAAGCUCCCCAUGCCUGAGGACUCUGGUAGUGAUGGAGCUGUCAGGAAGGGGCUCCCCUGCACAGUUCAGCUGACUUGGCAGUAUUCUGACUGCCGUGUGAAGAUCCAUGAAAUGAAUGAUCAUCAAAUGUGGCCACUGCCUGACAAAAAAUAACAUUUCUGCUGCCCCUCAUCCUGUAACCAAACAGCUUCUUCUCAUAAAAUAAUAAGCUUCCAUCUCUUCAUUUAUUGCACUGCAUGGGAACGACUGGCAGCUUGAUCACAUGUGCCAAUUUAUUAACUAAAUCUCAUUUACUAACUGGGAACAAAUUCUUUUUCUUGUAGCUGCUGAAUACAAAUGAGGUUGGGCUUCAGAGCUGCCCAGGUGCCAGGAAGCUUCCUUGGCCCAUUGGUCCCUGUGUCAAUGACAGUUGCACUCUGCCAGUAAAAAACUUGUUUUCUGAUGAGCUCUGCUAGACAUGAGAGGGUUGCUGAGCCCCAGGCUAAGGAAUGCUUACACAGGAGGAAGGCCAGGCUCAGAGGCCUGUCUCUGGUGCUGAGCUGCAAGAGCUCUGCUCUAGUGCAGAAGAACAUAUCCCCAGCACUGGCAAUCAUUUCUUCCAAACUGUGUGCCCUGCCCAAGUGACAGAGAGAGAGGGGCCAGCCUUGGAGCAGGCCCCUUCUAAAGGGCAGCCAUCAGCCGUGGCCUGUGCCCCAUCCUGACACUCAUCUCUGUAGUGACACAGCACUGGAAACAGCGAUGUUCUGAGAGCUGUGGGGGGCACAGCAAGGCUUGCCCCACUAUGCACACUUUUGACAAGGGCCAUCCCGUCCACUGCCUGCCACAGCAGGGGAGCUCCUGUCCUCAGGACAGGCCAAGGGCCAGCCAGGACAGGCAGAGCCCAGGUGGAGACUGAGGGGGAAGGGGCAUCUAUUAGCAGGUUUCCCUGCAGGGCUUGAUAGGUUGCCCAGGCUGCUCACUUUUCUGAGAUCUUCCUCUAGCUCUCCCACAGGUAAUUUUCCCUGGGUACACCCUCUUGGCUCAGCAUUUCCAGUUGCUCCCUGGGGGAGCAUCUUGGACACCCACUGCACCCAGUGGUCGUGUGCCUACAUGCAGUUCCCAAACACUGGCUAAAGUGACCUUCCUAAAACAGCCUGGCACUCACUCCUCAGGACAGGAUCACUGUGCUAGCACUCACUCUCUGCCAGGAGACCCUCUCUGUGCAGAAUUUGGUGGUGCCUUUCAACAGAGGCUUUGGCAAACAGUCAGGUUGAGUUUUGAAAUCUCUGGGAAGGGCCAGUCUGUGAUGAGUGUUUGCUUCUUCUUCAUACCUGCCUCCAGGUUUAAUGGUUUUUCCCAAGAAGGAAAAAUAACAAAAAAGAUAAUUCUCUUAAAACUGUUUCUCUGAGAGCCCAGGUUGUCAAGCUUUAUGCUGCUAGAUAAAUCAAACUAACUAACUGAGUUAAUUUGUCUGACCAUAAAGUGGAUUCAAUAAGUGUAAAACAAAACUAAUCGGUUUGCUUCCAUACAAAUUUAAUCAUACUAUAAAAUGUGAUCAAUGCAAAUAAAAAGCAUUGAGUAGGUUGAUUAUCAAGAAUCUAUAAAGGAAAAAAAUGUAUGUUCUUUCAGGAAUUGAAAACUGUGUGGGUUUCCAUCUCUGUACUGAUCAUCCCAUGAUGUAGACCCAGUCCAAAUGUGCUGUGCAGGCAGGGGCUGUGGAAAGGAUCUUGAGAGGAAGCACUCAGCUUUCAGCGAGCUGCAGCACUCUCAUAGAGGCCUCUGAGAUCUCAGGAGGGACAGGAGGGCAGGGGUCAGUUCCCUGUGAGUCCCUGAGCCAGGCACAGUCCCUGUCCUGCUCAGGAAGGAGGAGCAGAGAGGAGCACUGCAGAGUCACAGUGGGUGCCCUGACCAGAGGUGACAGUCGUGUUGGUUUGUCUGCUACUGCCCCAGCAUCAGCUCCUGCCCCUGAGCUUCUGGGAGAAGCACAGCUGGGAGAAACACAGCUGGGAGCCUCUUGCUGUGUCAGGCACCCUGGAGAGCUUGAUUCCCCUCACUCCUUUCUCCCAUCUCCCCACAUUUUGAGGUUAAGUUCUAGUAUCUCAUAAAAUAUGGUCAUAUCAUAAUUUGAGCCUGCAGAAAGUCCUUUCCAUGCAAGGGCUAGGAUCCAUACAAAUUGCCCUGUUCUGUAUCUCCUACUGCGAUAAGGAAACUUGAGAUGCUGACAGUUUCUUUGAUAAACACCUAAUAUAGCUUAAAUAAUUAUUUAAUGCAGACAAAUA
This is a long non-coding RNA of Motacilla alba alba, 7099 nucleotides long. RefSeq lists it as uncharacterized. The transcript has 4 exons. NCBI's taxonomy places the organism in Eukaryota, Metazoa, Chordata, Aves, Passeriformes, Motacillidae. The record is from RefSeq and is a predicted model, not a curated record.